Molecule: long non-coding RNA, 1256 nt
Organism: Balaenoptera ricei (Rice's whale)
Lineage: Eukaryota; Metazoa; Chordata; Mammalia; Artiodactyla; Balaenopteridae
Exons: 3
Source: RefSeq, a predicted model, not a curated record
GAGGGCAUUGUUCCCCUGUCGCCCCAGUGAAAACCAGGCGGGCCUUGAGCGCCCGCCUGGCUCCGGGGCCCAGGAGGGCGCUAAAGAUCACGGAAGGCUCGGGAAGGCUGUCCCGGCUCCCAGUUAUGUGGAAGAAGCAAAUGAGACCUUAUUCUCUUUGUGUGGAGGUUUUUUUAAGCCGUGGCGGCAAGCCGUAGGUGCACAACAGUUUCUGAGAAGAUACCGGAGAGUCACGACCCACUGAGUCAGAGCCCCACGGACCUGAUGCCUGGUGCUGCCUGCUGUUUCCGGCACUCCCAUCACCCCUGGCUACUGGACUGGGCUCACUCACUGAGCCCCACUGAAGGAUGCAGGUGCUCUGACAGGGCCUCUGAGGGAGACUGGGAGCGGUCAGAGAAGAACCUGUGGGUGUGGCUGGCAGAGAGCAGGUGGCAGCGGGCUGAGCUGGCUGGUCGCUUGCGGGCAGCACUGGAGGCCCUGUCUGAGCAAGCACAGCUGCUGCAGAAGCGGGAACGUGAUCUGGGACUCAGCAGGAUCCAGUGUGAGUUGCUGGCUCCGAAGCAGAAAGUGAGGCUCUGGUCCUCUCCUCGUGGUCUUCCUUGCUUGUCCACAGCCCCAGGGAGGUCCCCCGAGCUAGCAAGUUCCCCUUACUAGACUGAAAACCCCAGAAUGCUCAGGGCUGAUGCCCAUAUCUGGUGUCAUAUUCUCAGGAAGAAGGCUUGUCAGGGCCUGGGGCAUCCAAAGGAGACAGAGGGAAAUUGAGUCCCCAAGAGGGCUACCAUGUUGAAAGUGUCAUCUCUGUGAAUGGCACCCCCUGGAGGUGUGCAGUGCAUUGCCUGGUGUGGCUGGGAGCAGUGGAUAGAGGCAAAGGAAGGACCAGGGAACCUCUGCCCUUCCCUUCCCAGGUAGAAUAAGAGGGAAGGAGGUGGCUGGUUUUAGCUCAGUGGACAGAAGAGUUUCCUCCGAAGCCCAGUCACCCCUGGUGAAGCUUCAGUCCCCAGGGAGGGAGAGAGGGUUAUGCACACUGAGGCUUCUAGGGGAGGUACCCAGCAUCCCUGCCCCAUGUGAGAGUAUGGACAGUGCUACCCUGUGAUGGCCUAGAUACCUAAGCCUUUAUGUGACCUGGUGGUCUCAGCGCACAGCUGACCCUCCUAGAGCCACUGCUCCCUACCGGCCAGGGAGGACCCUGCGAACCCAGUUGACAUGCCUGCUCACUCUCCAGCAUUCCACAACAGCAGCCCCUGUACUCUUUUUUG